RNAcentral lists this ribosomal RNA (619 nucleotides) under uncultured bacterium. RNAcentral describes it as "bacterial SSU rRNA". The stretch from base 1 to 538 matches the Rfam family "Bacterial small subunit ribosomal RNA", at positions 338 to 873 of the family's 1533-position model. The record is from RNAcentral.
CCUACGGGAGGCAGCAGUGGGGAAUAUUGGACAAUGGGCGAAAGCCUGAUCCAGCAACGCCGUGUGUGUGAAGAAGGCCUUCGGGUUGUAAAGCACUUUUAGUUGGGAAGAAAAGCUCAAGAUUAAUAACUUUGAGUGAUGACGUUACCAACAGAAAAAGCACUGGCUAACUCUGUGCCAGCAGCCGCGGUAAUACAGAGAGUGCGAGCGUUAAUCGGAAUUACUGGGCGUAAAGCGCACGUAGGUGGAAUUUUAAGUCGGAUGUGAAAUCCCCGGGCUUAACCUGGGAAUUGCAUUCGAUACUGUGAUUCUAGAGUAUGGUAGAGGGAAGUGGAAUUUCCGGUGUAGCGGUGAAAUGCGUAGAUAUCGGAAGGAACAUCAGUGGCGAAAGCGGCUUCCUGGACCAAUACUGACACUUAGGUGCGAAAGCGUGGGGAGCAAACAGGAUUAGAUACCCUGGUAGUCCACGCCGUCAACGAUGAUACUAGAUGUUGGGAUUUACUCUUAGUAUCGAAGCUAACGCGUUAAGUUNUCCGCCGUGGGGAGGUACGGCGCGAGUAAACGUACGUAAGAAGUUAGUAGNGUUGAGAGNGCCGACGGACGACGACGAGGGAGGAGG